RNAcentral lists this ribosomal RNA (575 nucleotides) under uncultured bacterium. RNAcentral's name for it is "partial 16S ribosomal RNA". It matches the Rfam family "Bacterial small subunit ribosomal RNA", at positions 355 to 923 of the family's 1533-position model. The record is from RNAcentral.
UGGGGAAUUUUGGACAAUGGGCGAAAGCCUGAUCCAGCAAUGCCGCGUGUGUGAAGAAGGCCUUCGGGUUGUAAAGCACUUUUGUCCGGAAAGAAAUCCUUGGCUCUAAUACAGUCGGGGGAUGACGGUACCGGAAGAAUAAGCACCGGCUAACUACGUGCCAGCAGCCGCGGUAAUACGUAGGGUGCAAGCGUUAAUCGGAAUUACUGGGCGUAAAGCGUGCGCAGGCGGUUUGCUAAGACCGAUGUGAAAUCCCCGGGCUCAACCUGGGAACUGCAUUGGUGACUGGCAGGCUAGAGUAUGGCAGAGGGGGGUAGAAUUCCACGUGUAGCAGUGGAAUGCGUAGAGAUGUGGAGGAAUACCGAUGGCGAAGGCAGCCCCCUGGGCCAAUACUGACGCUCAUGCACGAAAGCGUGGGGAGCAAACAGGAUUAGAUACCCUGGUAGUCCACGCCCUAAACGAUGUCAACUAGUUGUUGGGGAUUCAUUUCCUUAGUAACGUAGCUAACGCGUGAAGUUGACCGCCUGGGGAGUACGGUCGCAAGAUUAAAACUUAAAGGAAUUGACGGGGUCAUA